AAUGAACCGGCGAGUUACGAUUUGAUGCAAGGUUAAGCAGUAAAUGUGGAGCCGUAGCGAAAGCGAGUCUGAAUAGGGCGUUUAGUAUUUGGUCGUAGACCCGAAACCAGGUGAUCUACCCUUGGUCAGGUUGAAGUUCAGGUAACACUGAAUGGAGGACCGAACCGACUUACGUUGAAAAGUGAGCGGAUGAACUGAGGGUAGCGGAGAAAUUCCAAUCGAACCUGGAGAUAGCUGGUUCUCUCCGAAAUAGCUUUAGGGCUAGCCUCAAGUGAUGAUUAUUGGAGGUAGAGCACUGUUUGGACGAGGGGCC
This 313-nucleotide ribosomal RNA is filed under the name Staphylococcus aureus. RNAcentral describes it as "partial 23S ribosomal RNA". It matches the Rfam family "Bacterial large subunit ribosomal RNA", at positions 614 to 927 of the family's 2925-position model. Lineage: Bacteria; Bacillati; Bacillota; Bacilli; Caryophanales; Staphylococcaceae. The record is from RNAcentral.